ACCUGGGUGGCUCAGUGGUUGAGCGCCUGCCUUCAGCGCAGGGCGUGAUCCUGGGGUCCCAGAUA
Molecule: transfer RNA, 65 nt
Filed under: Canis lupus dingo (dingo)
Lineage: Eukaryota; Metazoa; Chordata; Mammalia; Carnivora; Canidae
Source: Rfam by way of RNAcentral